CCUACGGGAGGCAGCAGUGAGGAAUAUUGGUCAAUGGGCGAGAGCCUGAACCAGCCAAGUCGCGUGAGGGAAGACGGUCCUAUGGAUUGUAAACCUCUUUUGCCGGGGAGCAAAAAGCGGUACGUGUACCGCAUCGAGCGUACCCGGAGAAAAAGCAUCGGCUAACUCCGUGCCAGCAGCCGCGGUAAUACGGAGGGGGCAAGCGUUAUCCGGAUUUACUGGGUGUAAAGGGAGCGUAGACGGUGCAGCAAGUCAGAUGUGAAAGGUCGGGGCCCAACCCCGGGACUGCAUUGGAGACUGUUGAGCUGGAGUACAGGAGAGGUAAGCGGAAUUCCUAGUGUAGCGGUGAAAUGCGUAGAUAUCACGAAGAACUCCGAUUGCGAAGGCAGCUCACUGGACUGCAACUGACACUGAGGCUCGAAAGUGUGGGUAUCAAACAGGAUUAGAUACCCUGGUAGUC
This 460-nucleotide ribosomal RNA is filed under the name uncultured bacterium. RNAcentral's name for it is "partial 16S ribosomal RNA". It matches the Rfam family "Bacterial small subunit ribosomal RNA", at positions 338 to 795 of the family's 1533-position model. The record is from RNAcentral.